UAGCUUCCUGUUAAGGGUUGAGGUAAUGUAAGUCUUUGCUCGGUUUGGUUUAACGAUGUGGGGGUGAGGUUCCUAUUUUUGCUGCAUAUCUAUUCUCCUCUUAGACCUUGUGAGGAAUAGUAAAUUUUUUUUUUGUCAGAUUAAUUGAGCUUAGAAUAAUAAUUCUAUUUUCUCUGGCUGUAAUGUUCAUUACUUAGUGAAACAGGAUCAGAAUAGGUACAGUGCAAGUAGAGGAGCUCAUUUGAAUCUCAAGAGAGCUGAGAAAGCACGUGUUCUGGUUAGCAAGAUUCCUGCCAUGGUUGACACAUUGGUUGCUAAGACCAGAGCUUGGGAAGAGGAACACAACAUGUCUUUUGCAUACGAUGGUGUUCCUCUGCUAGCUAUGUUAGAUGAGUACGGUAUGCUUACUGCUUAUGCAAGAACGAGAAGAUGAGAAACGGAGGCUGAGGGAACAAAAGAAGGUUCAAGAACAGCCACACGUGGAGCAAGACACUGCCUUCAGCACCAGGCCAAGCCCUGCGAGACCGGUGAGUGCAAAGAAACUGGUGGGGGCACGAGCUAGCAACGGAGCAGCCAAUGGAACACCAAACCGGCAUCUGUCUUUGAAUGCAAACCAGAACGGAAGCAGGUCUGUUGCAAAGGAAGAAGGGAAAAGUGUGUGUAAUUUUGCUAUUGUAAACUUGAAAAUUUCAUGAAGGAAAUAGUUCAUUUGAGGUUUCAGCUACUAGAAACGAUAUAAAGGCACUUCAAAUUCAAUUCAUGCUGAUGAGAAAAAACUAAUCCAUUUCGAAUUGGACAGGCAAAUGGAGAAAAAUGUGGCCUCCAGUAUGCAUACUUAAUGCAUAGAAUAUUGUGCUUGAUCUUUUAUUGUAGCCUAAGGUUGGUUACAAACACCUACGUAAUGGGUCUUCUACAUAAAUCAAGUAUAUAUAUAUAUGUGUGUGUAUAAGUGUGUGUAGCAUGUUCAUAUUUCAUUUGUAGAGUUGGUGGCCGAUUCUAAACCGAAUGAUAAUCAUUGUUCCUCACAAUUG
This is a long non-coding RNA of Brassica napus (rape), 1031 nucleotides long. RefSeq lists it as uncharacterized. The record is from RefSeq and is a predicted model, not a curated record. The transcript is spliced from 3 exons. Lineage: Eukaryota; Viridiplantae; Streptophyta; Magnoliopsida; Brassicales; Brassicaceae.